AUCUGAGCGUCUUAUUUUAAUAAGUCAAAACUUUCAACAACGGAUCUCUUGGUUCUGGCAUCGAUGAAGAACGCAGCGAAAUGCGAUAAGUAAUGUGAAUUGCAGAAUUCAGUGAAUCAUCGAAUCUUUGAACGCACAUUGCGCCCAUUAGUAUUCUAGUGGGCAUGCCUGUUCGAGCGUCAUUUCAACCCUUAAGCCUAGCUUAGU
RNAcentral lists this ribosomal RNA (207 nucleotides) under Pestalotiopsis funerea. RNAcentral describes it as "5.8S ribosomal RNA". The stretch from base 29 to 182 matches the Rfam family "5.8S ribosomal RNA". Rfam says of the family: 5.8S ribosomal RNA (5.8S rRNA) is a component of the large subunit of the eukaryotic ribosome. It is transcribed by RNA polymerase I as part of the 45S precursor that also contains 18S and 28S rRNA. The record is from RNAcentral. Lineage: Eukaryota; Fungi; Ascomycota; Sordariomycetes; Amphisphaeriales; Sporocadaceae. RNAcentral also lists the same sequence under 1 other name.